This 496-nucleotide ribosomal RNA is filed under the name uncultured bacterium. RNAcentral's name for it is "partial 16S ribosomal RNA". It matches the Rfam family "Bacterial small subunit ribosomal RNA", at positions 28 to 506 of the family's 1533-position model. The record is from RNAcentral.
GAUGAACGCUGGCGGCGUGCCUAAUACAUGCAAGUCGAGCGAACAGACGAGGAGCUUGCUCCUCUGACGUUAGCGACGGACGGGUGAGUAACACGUGGAUAACCUACCUAUAAGACUGGGAUAACUUCGGGAAACCGGAGCUAAUACCGGAUAAUAUAUUGAACCGCAUGGUUCAAUAGUGAAAGACGGUUUUGCUGUCACUUAUAGAUGGAUCCGCGCCGCAUUAGCUAGUUGGUAAGGUAACGGCUUACCAAGGCGACGAUGCGUAGCCGACCUGAGAGGGUGAUCGGCCACACUGGAACUGAGACACGGUCCAGACUCCUACGGGAGGCAGCAGUAGGGAAUCUUCCGCAAUGGGCGAAAGCUUGACGGAGCAACGCCGCGUGAGUGAUGAAGGUCUUCGGAUCGUAAAACUCUGUUAUUAGGGAAGAACAAAUGUGUAAGUAACUAUGCACGUCUUGACGGUACCUAAGCAGAAAGCCACGGCUAACUACGU